Molecule: ribosomal RNA, 100 nt
Filed under: Eimeria zuernii
Lineage: Eukaryota; Apicomplexa; Conoidasida; Eucoccidiorida; Eimeriidae
Description: partial 5.8S rRNA
Rfam family: 5.8S ribosomal RNA
About the family: 5.8S ribosomal RNA (5.8S rRNA) is a component of the large subunit of the eukaryotic ribosome. It is transcribed by RNA polymerase I as part of the 45S precursor that also contains 18S and 28S rRNA. Functionally, it is thought that 5.8S rRNA may be involved in ribosome translocation.
Source: RNAcentral
AUACGCAUUGUGAAUUGCAGAUUUCAGUGAACCAUCAGAUUUCCGAACGCAUAUGGGCGCUGUGGGGACUUCCCCGCAGCACGUCUGUUUCAGUGUCUUU